CUUGCAAGUAGCUCUGAGCAGCUUACAUGCUAGAGGCUGUGCGUGAACAGCCCAGGAGUGGGGGUUCUCACAGCAGAGCAGAGUAAGGCUGGCUCCCUGAGUCGAGGAUUAGAGUGACCUAGCAGAUCACCGGUCCAGAUAACACCAGAGGGGAAU
Long non-coding RNA from Chelonia mydas (Green sea turtle), 156 nucleotides. RefSeq lists it as uncharacterized. The record is from RefSeq and is a predicted model, not a curated record. The transcript is spliced from 3 exons. NCBI's taxonomy places the organism in Eukaryota, Metazoa, Chordata, Testudines, Cheloniidae.